AAAUUGAAGAGUUUGAUCAUGGCUCAGAUUGAACGCUGGCGGCAGGCCUAACACAUGCAAGUCGAACGGUAACAGAAAGCAGCUUGCUGCUUUGCUGACGAGUGGCGGACGGGUGAGUAAUGUCUGGGAAACUGCCUGAUGGAGGGGGAUAACUACUGGAAACGGUAGCUAAUACCGCAUAAUGUCGCAAGACCAAAGAGGGGGACCUUCGGGCCUCUUGCCAUCGGAUGUGCCCAGAUGGGAUUAGCUAGUAGGUGGGGUAACGGCUCACCUAGGCGACGAUCCCUAGCUGGUCUGAGAGGAUGACCAGCCACACUGGAACUGAGACACGGUCCAGACUCCUACGGGAGGCAGCAGUGGGGAAUAUUGCACAAUGGGCGCAAGCCUGAUGCAGCCAUGCCGCGUGUAUGAAGAAGGCCUUCGGGUUGUAAAGUACUUUCAGCGGGGAGGAAGGGAGUAAAGUUAAUACCUUUGCUCAUUGACGUUACCCGCAGAAGAAGCACCGGCUAACUCCGU
RNAcentral lists this ribosomal RNA (516 nucleotides) under Escherichia coli. RNAcentral's name for it is "bacterial SSU rRNA". It matches the Rfam family "Bacterial small subunit ribosomal RNA", at positions 1 to 506 of the family's 1533-position model. Lineage: Bacteria; Pseudomonadati; Pseudomonadota; Gammaproteobacteria; Enterobacterales; Enterobacteriaceae. The record is from RNAcentral.